This is a long non-coding RNA of Carassius gibelio (silver crucian carp), 2326 nucleotides long. RefSeq lists it as uncharacterized. The transcript has 2 exons. Lineage: Eukaryota; Metazoa; Chordata; Actinopteri; Cypriniformes; Cyprinidae. The record is from RefSeq and is a predicted model, not a curated record.
UAUAUAUAUAUAUAUAUAUAUUGUCACGGGAGGAGCACAAGACAGACACAGUGGGCGUGGCGUCAGGCCUCGGAGAGGCUUUUAUUAACAGAAAUCAUAAAAUAACACAGGGCAUAAAAGUGGCCAAAGGGGGAAAGUGUCCAAAAUAACAGGGAAUCUGGUGCCCUCGUCGUGCUGCGGGAUUUGUGUAGGUCGGGCAGUGUUCAUCAAGGAAGGGUCCAGGCAAGGGGCGGAGUCCGGCGGCCGCACGCGCUCCCCUCCUUGGUCCGGGGCGCGAGGGGCGGCGGCUUCUCCUAGCGGCCGCGUCUCUCUCGUUGGCCGCGGCGCUGGUAGGGGAUGGACGGCCCGGCAUCCUGGCCCGUCGGCCGUGUAUACGGGUGCGGUUCCCUUCCGGAUCGCGGGUCCGGCAGCUCACGUCUUGGUGGCGCGGGAGUCCCUCAACGCACCCUUCCUGGACCCACGAGGACACCAGUGUGCAUGCACGGGGAAGAGACCGGUCUCCUGAGGAGAGGCGCGUUGGGCUUUUAACCAGCGGCGGUAAUGAGGCUCCACUUCCUUCAGGUGUGCCCCAUCACACGCCGCCAGCCCUGACUCGUCCAGCGCCCCUCCUCUCACACCCACUCCAGUCGGGAGCCUGGUGAAGGGCGGCGAUUUAGGACGGGGUGCCGGUGACAAUCAGGGAGGAGGCAGCUGACUCGUCACAUUCCCCCUCCCAAGCGACAUCCCCGUCAUCAGGGCGCCGCCCACACGGGAGUGCUACCAUCCUCAACCAGGCUCCAAACGGUCGGAGUGGGCGGGGAUUCCUCUCCGGGCGGUCCUCCCUCUCGCAGCGCACCGGAACAGGGACAGAGAAACCGGGUUUUAGUGACAGCCUCAACCAACCACAGGGUAAAAUGACAAUAACAGAAGUCACUUACCCUUUUUGUGGCUGGGAGGCUGUCCCCAGUUUUCCUCCGUCCCAGUCCGGGUUCUCAUGAACGUUUGCAAGCGAGAGGGAGUGACGUCACCAGAUGUUUCCCAACUGCGCUGUCUAGGCUCCGCCUUGCCCGCAUUCUCCACCAGUGUCACGGGAGGAGCACAAGACAGACACAGUGGGCGUGGCGUCAGGCCUCGGAGAGGCUUUUAUUAACAGAAAUCAUAAAAUAACACAGGGCAUAAAAGUGGCCAAAGGGGGAAAGUGUCCAAAAUAACAGGGAAUCUGGUGCCCUCGUCGUGCUGCGGGAUUUGUGUAGGUCGGGCAGUGUUCAUCAAGGAAGGGUCCAGGCAAGGGGCGGAGUCCGGCGGCCGCACGCGCUCCCCUCCUUGGUCCGGGGCGCGAGGGGCGGCGGCUUCUCCUAGCGGCCGCGUCUCUCUCAUUGGCCGCGGCGCUGGUAGGGGAUGGACGGCCCGGCAUCCUGGCCCGUCGGCCGUGUAAACGGGUGCGGUUCUCCUCCGGAUCGCGGGUCCGGCAGCUCACGUCUUGGUGGCGCGGGAGUCCCUCAACGCUCCCUUCCUGGACCCACGAGGACACCAGCGUGCAUGCACGGGGAAGAGACCGGUCUCCUGAGGAGAGGCGCGUUGGGCUUUUAAACAGCGGCGGUAAUGAGGCUCCACUUCCUUCAGGUGUGCCCCAUCACACGCCGCCAGCCCUGACUCGUCCAGCGCCCCUCCUCUCACACACCCACUCCAGUCGGGAGCCUGGUGAAGGGCGGCGAUUUAGGACGGGGUGCCGGUGACAAUCAGGGAGGAGGCAGCUGACUCGUCACAUUCCCCCUCCCAAGCGACAUCCCCGUCCCCAGGGCGCCACCCACACGGGAGUGCUACCAUCCUCAACCAGGCUCCAAACGGUCGGAGUGGGCGGGGCUUCCUCUCCGGGCGGUCCUCCCUCUCGCAGCGCACCAGAACAGGGACAGAGAAACCGGGUUUUAGUGACAGCCUCAACCAACCACAGGGUAAAAUGACAAUGGAAAAGUCACUUACCCCUUGUGUGGCUGGGAGGCUGUCCCCAGUUUUCCUCCGUCCCAGUCUGGGUUCUCACGAACGUUUGCAAGCGAGAGGGGGGUGACGUCACCAGACGUUUCCCAACUGCGCUGUCUAGGCUCCGCCUGCCCGCAUUCUCCACCAGUGUCACGGGAGGAGCACAAGACAGACACAGUGGGCGUGGCGUCAGGCCUCGGAGAGGCUUUUAUUAACAGAAAUCAUAAAACAAAGGGAAUAAAAGUGGCCAAAGGGGGAAAGUGUCCAAAAUAACAGGGAAUCUGGUGUCCUCGUUGUGCUGCGGGGUUUGUGUGGGUCGGGCAGUGUUCACCGAGGAAGGGUCCAGGCAAGGGGCGGAGUCCGGCGGCCG